GACGAACGCUGGCGGCGUGCUUAACACAUGCAAGUCGAACGGAGCUAUUUAUUUCGGUAGAUAGCUUAGUGGCAAACGGGUGAGUAACGCGUAGGCAACCUGCCCUCAGGAUGGGGACAACGGCUCGAAAGAGCCGCUAAUACCGAAUGACGUAACUCUUCCACAUGGAAGAGAUACUAAAGAUGGGUCAAACCAUCGCCUAAGGAUGGGCCUGCGUCUGAUUAGCCAGUUGGUGAGGUAACGGCUCACCAAAGCGACGAUCAGUAGCCGGUCUGAGAGGAUGAACGGCCACAAUGGGACUGAGACACGGCCCAUACUCCUACGGGAGGCAGCAGUGGGGAAUCUUCCGCAAUGGGCGAAAGCCUGACGGAGCAACGCCGCGUGAGUGAAGAAGGUCUUCGGAUCGUAAAGCUCUGUUGUCGGGGACGAAAGAGUAGACGAGGAAAUGCGUUACUAAG
This 458-nucleotide ribosomal RNA is filed under the name Veillonellaceae bacterium oral taxon 155. RNAcentral describes it as "bacterial SSU rRNA". It matches the Rfam family "Bacterial small subunit ribosomal RNA", at positions 28 to 471 of the family's 1533-position model. Lineage: Bacteria; Bacillati; Bacillota; Negativicutes; Veillonellales; Veillonellaceae. The record is from RNAcentral.